ACGGGGUUUAAGGGGGUGGAUUUACAGCCUAGGUUGGCAGCACAAAGAAAGGAUUAGACCUUGUGAGUGUGACAGGAAGAAAACAAUAGUCAUGUUAGCUAAGAUGCAGAACGUAUUAUGAAGUUAGCAUGCCAGUGUAGCAAACUCAACUGAACAACUGAUACUAGCUACUAGUAUCUAGUGGAAGUAAGUUACUCGGAAGCUGCCCGGCGAGAGCUACAGAAAAGAGAAAAGCACAGUAUGGCAUCUCAGCUGAUCAUCAUGAACUUCAUGUAGUUACAGUACAUCAACCAAUACAAGAUAAGAGCAGCGCAACCAGCCAGCCAGCAUGCAUCAGCCUAUUUAUAGCCCAGCUGAUUCAAUAGACCUCUCCAGUCCAAGAACCACCAUUAUGGACGACCAGUUCAGAGGCCUUGAGCAAGCAUGUGGAGACCCUCUCACAGCCAUGGUUCUCCGAGAUCAUAAUGAAGGGUUGUUCAGAGGCAUCGUGACUGAUGAGGACUCUGGAGCGGUUCACGGUGUACAGACCCUCUACGCCGAUAAGAACGGGACACUUGUGAGGCUCCACCUAAAGUGGCUCCAUCUGUUUGCGCGGAAGUGGGCUCUGAGAGACGCACACGCACAUAUUCAGGGAGAACUGAACACUUCCAUCCAUUGUAGCCCUUUCCUGCAGUUAAAUGACCUAUUAUUCAUAUUUUUCAUAAUUAAUAAACAUUUUGGACAAUA
Molecule: long non-coding RNA, 726 nt
Organism: Oncorhynchus kisutch (coho salmon)
Lineage: Eukaryota; Metazoa; Chordata; Actinopteri; Salmoniformes; Salmonidae
Exons: 4
Source: RefSeq, a predicted model, not a curated record